Molecule: long non-coding RNA, 168 nt
Filed under: Phasianus colchicus (ring-necked pheasant)
Lineage: Eukaryota; Metazoa; Chordata; Aves; Galliformes; Phasianidae
Description: lncRNA (ENSPCLG00000021620.1)
Source: RNAcentral
AUCCAGGCUCUUUGUGCUGUCACAGCAUGUCUCUGGCAAUUGCAGGUAGGAGAGGAAUUUGGACCUGCCAUGCUCCAGUAUCCACCUAAUCCUUCAGCCAGGGUUUCCUAUGCAUGUCCCACCAGAGUAGGAUUUACACUUCACGCUUCAAUUUUUUUAAUUACCCUC